GCCCGGUUGGCGGAAUAGGUUCACGCGCGGCCCUCAAAAGGCCGUGCCCUUCGGGGCAUGUGGGUUCGAAUCCCACACCGGGCA
This 84-nucleotide transfer RNA is filed under the name Wenjunlia vitaminophila. Its description in RNAcentral is "Streptomyces vitaminophilus tRNA". It matches the Rfam family "tRNA". Rfam says of the family: Transfer RNA (tRNA) molecules are approximately 80 nucleotides in length. Their secondary structure includes four short double-helical elements and three loops (D, anti-codon, and T loops). Further hydrogen bonds mediate the characteristic L-shaped molecular structure. tRNAs have two regions of fundamental functional importance: the anti-codon, which is responsible for specific mRNA codon recognition, and the 3' end, to which the tRNAs corresponding amino acid is attached (by aminoacyl-tRNA synthetases). tRNAs cope with the degeneracy of the genetic code in two manners: having more than one tRNA (with a specific anti-codon) for a particular amino acid; and 'wobble' base-pairing, i.e. permitting non-standard base-pairing at the 3rd anti-codon position. Lineage: Bacteria; Bacillati; Actinomycetota; Actinomycetes; Kitasatosporales; Streptomycetaceae. The record is from Rfam by way of RNAcentral.